This 335-nucleotide unclassified non-coding RNA is filed under the name fungal sp. Its description in RNAcentral is "partial internal transcribed spacer region". The stretch from base 1 to 46 matches the Rfam family "Eukaryotic small subunit ribosomal RNA", at positions 1786 to 1831 of the family's 1831-position model. The record is from RNAcentral. Lineage: Eukaryota; Fungi.
AAGUCGUAACAAGGUUUCCGUAGGUGAACCUGCGGAAGGAUCAUUACCGAAGCAAAAAAUCUGGUUGGGUGCUCGUUGCUGUUCCUCCCCCCAAAAGCUUCGGGGGAAUGCGGCUGGGGUAAGGGAAAAUGUGCAGCGCAGCCCCCGACCACUGCUUUUCCACCACAUCACCUGUGCACUUCUGUAGAUUGGACGUCAUGUGCAUGCAUGCAUGCAUGAUGGGUCUGGUCUAUGUCCCUUUUAUAGCACCCCAUUGUUAUAACAGAAUGUUGUGAUGUUUUUCCUUCAAUGGACAUACACUAUGACAACUUUCGACAACGGAUCUCUUGGCUCUC